CCCGCCUGCGCCAACGGACGAGCGCGUGGCGGGGCGCGAGGAGAGGGGCGGGGCGGAUCCGCUUCGCACGCGCCCCUCCCCGCGCCUCACUGACAGGUGGAGCUGUGCCCCGUCUGUCGUCACGUGACGGGGGGUGGGGAGGAGAUACCGCCUCGCGAGAGCGCUGUGACGAAGCUACCGCGGCCCCGCAGGCGUGAGGGAGGGGAGGGGGUGCGGCUGCCGGCUGCCAGCGGAGGGCUUGGCGGGGCCAUCCAGUAGGGGAGCGGGAAGGAGCUUUACGGAGCGUUUGAUGCAAGGCCAAAAGCAAACUGGGAUAUCCAGUACUACAGAUCCAGAUAAAAAGAAAAAAAUAAGAGAACCCUGAGAUAAAUCUGAGUCAUCUGAAGCGCAGCUGAGAAAACAGAGAAGUGUCUGAACUCAAAACAGCACUCCCUAGUUGCUAACACGGGGAUGAUUAACAAAGAUGGACAACAGCAUUAUAGUCACUUUGGGCAGCUGAAGCUGACCACGUAAGUGCAGCAUACCAAGUCAGGCGAGGAAGGGGCAUAAAAUUUGCCCUCUGAAAAAAAAAGAGAAGAAACACCCCUCACUUGCAGAAAGAAAAUUCUGACUGGGAAAUACCAGGGAGCUUGUAUGAAAAGCAGUAAGACAAACAGAUCUGAUCUCUUUGUGGCCCAUGUCAAAAUUCCUCUGGAUGGCAGCAAGACUGGGAUCCAACUGGAAUCACGCAGAUGCAGCUGCCAGGAAACACGAGUAACCUGUGUGCAUGACUACCUUUGUGUUUACACUUCGUGCAUCUUCCAGCAAUGCACCUCUUUUUGGGACAGGGCAGUUUUUAAGUCUGAUCCUCUCAGUGUGCUGCUGGUUGUGCACCCACACAAACGGGGGAACCAGCUGGACACAGGUCUCGCCAACUCUUUCUGAGAUGUGUUGCAGAUGGAGCACAGAGACUCUCAGACUCUAAGGUGAUAUAUGAAUCCUGAGGCAAAAGAAGACCUGAACCCAAACAAUCAACUGAGGCUUUUACCAUCUGACCAACUUCCUCUACAGUCUUACUGGAUGAUAAUGAAAAAUAAGUGGUUCAUUUCACCAAUAAUCUAAUAAUACAGAAUUUGUAUUAUAUGCAUAUGCGUACACAUGCAAAAGAUAGAAAUUUGUUUGUAUUUUUUUAGGUAAUAUUUAUGACCUAAUGACUUUUUAUGUAAUAUAUGCACUGCUUCUGUAGAUACAAAUUAUAGAUAGACAUAUGCUUUUAAAAUGUGCUAGUAUGACACUUGUAUGACAUGUCUCUCAAUGAAGAAUUAAUAUUUCUUACUUUUUUUCUCCUUUCAUUUCUCAUUGCAAUGCACAAGAAAGCAGUUUCAGCUUAUUUUGGCGGAGGUGCACUUAGAAAUGUGUAGCGUUUAUUUGCAGUACUGCUCUCACAAAAUGUUGCCAUGCUGUGGCACUUCUUUGAAGUUCUUCUCUGAAAGGUUCUUUGCAAAGGCUGUGUAGGAGGCUUUGCAACCGGGAGGUUUGGAAUUGUUUUUCUGAAAAUUAUUCUGAAAAGUCUGUCCUUUUCAAGGUCUUGGCCAGGUGCACAGCUAUUUUCCUCUUUCCAUUUCCUUUAACUCUGCAGCACAGAAUAAUAGGCCCUAUCUGAAAUUUUAUAUAUGUAAUGCAUUGCAGACUCUGCCACAUACUUCCCUUUUCAGCAGGCUUAUUGAACACCAAGGCACUUGCAGUGAUUCUUCUGUCAGCCUAACAUUCAGUCUCUCAGAGAUCAGCCAAACGUAGGGACCAGUUCUACCACCACCACGCUCAUGGUGCUUUCUUUACAUUACAUUCCCAAACGUCAAUGGAUCUCUCAUAAAUUGCUAUGAUCUGUGUCAAGAUAGAGUUCUCAGCAUGUGUCUCAUGCUCACCUGCAUCACCAAACAGCCUCACAAGGAAGGUGUCUCCAUGAAUACUGACCAGCCAGCAACAGCACUGCAGCCAGUCCCCUGAGAGAAAGCUCCCUCCAGUUUUGACCACUGCCACAGAAAGGAGAACGAGAGCCCCCAACGCACUCCAAUGCUAUUCUUCAUGGGAUCUCAGCUCAUCACGACACAGAAGAAGAAACACUAGAAACUGACUUGUAACCAGUGCUCUUCACUCAGUGUUGUCAAGCACAUGUGUCACUGGGCUGGUAGAUUAAACCUGUGUCCAUAAUGAAGAGGAGGAGCCAAGUGGUCCACCAGUAAAGAUCCCAGUCUGCUUCAGUUGGUUCCUUUCCUGAUGGAUGCCACAAAUAUCCUGCACAGAACACAGCACAGACCACGUUAAUGCAGCACACCAGGGUGGCAGUGGCACUCUUCUAAGGCUGUUCCUCCAGGAAGCUCACCAACAUCCUUGCAGGAUCAGUCUGAAGCUACGCUUUGACACUUUGCCUUUUGCAUAGAGAGGCGGCCCUAAGGUUUUUGCAUACAUUGAUACGUACAUGAAAAAGCAGAUACUUGCCCUAGUCCCAGGCACUUGCAGUAAAGAUCCAUAGAGAACUUGAAUAAUCAUAAUUUCUUAGUGCAUUAAAGAGUUCAGACUACAGAAAGAAGACAUUUCCGAGAAACAGAUUUUAUAGACUGAGCUGAACAGAUUUUUGGCAUUAUUUGUAAGCCAGUCAUUGUUAAGCCUUUGUACUUAGAAGAGCAAUUAUGACUCCUUUGGAAACAUCCUUAGUUGAACUCUUAAAAUAAUAAAAACACUCCUCCGUAAGACCACAUUAACAUAUGGUUUUCGUAAUGACAGCACAAACAAAUCACCCACUCAUCAAACACAUUUAGGAAGAAGACAGGAACAAACAGAGCAAAAAUUUUCUAAAGAUUACUUAGAGGUCCUGAUCAGUCAGGGAAAAAAAGAAAAGAAAAAAGUGAACUAAACUGAAUUCAGGUCCUGUCUAUAGGAUAUUGAAUACAGACAAAAUAUGCAACAUACAAAUAACCAAAAUCAAGAAUACCACUAAACUUUGUAAGGCAAAGUUUAUAGAUAUUAAGCUGCAAAACUGUAUUUCAAAAAAAUGUCAAGCUGUGGAUGCCUAGCUUCCUAGUUUACUUUUGAACGUUGGUGAUGCAUCAUCAGUAAGCAAGAAAGAGACAAGGUGUGUUUGCACCAGUGACCAGCUGGAAUACCUUUGCUGGACUUACCACCCCCCAGUACUUUGCAGGCAAGUCCCAGCCAAACCAUAGUCUUCACUACAUGCACUGCUUCAUCCCCAGGAGCAGCAGCAGGAACCUGCAUCCUUGAAGCACAUGUGCAUCUUCCUGGGGCUGAGCACCGGGAACAACUGGGCUACCAGCAGUGGCCAGCACAGCUCCCGUGCAGCUCCCUGUAACACCAUCGCAUAACCUCAGUGCAGAGGAAAAGGAGAGCAAACAAGAUCCACAUUCAAAAUGGAGUUUGUAGUCUGACAGACACCCGGAGUGAGCCUUCACUGUGAAACGGUUCAAAAAAUGAGCAUGAGCAAAUUCCUCUAAGGAGUGUUUUUGCCUACGUGUAGUUCUGUUGUUUUUGCUAGCUCUCUUCCACAUGAAUCUGUGUCUUGUGAAUAGAAGAAUGGAUGAGAAAACUCCAUGCACUCAUUUUGAUUCCAUUUGGGAAAGGGGCCAAGCAGAUCUUUCAUGCUUGCCACCCCCCUGGAACAGAAUCACUGAACAUCCCAAGUUGGAAAACACCCACAAGGAUCAUUGAGUCCAACCCCUGAUUCCAGAUAGGACCAGCCAAAAUCAAACCCUAUGUCUGACAGCACUGUCCAGACACUCCCUGAACUCCGGCACUGGGGGCCGUGCCCACAGCCCUGGGCAGCCCGUUCCAUGCCCACCGCCCUGUGGUGCAGCCCCUGUCCCUAACCCCCAGCUGCCCCUCCCCUGACACAGCUCCAUGCCGUUCCCUCGGGCCCUGUCGCUGUCACACAGAGCAGAGCUCAGCGCUGCCCCUCCGCUCCCUGUGAGGAGCUGCAGCCGCCAUCAGGCCUCCCCUCAGCUCCUCUGCUCUGCGCUGAGCACACCGAUGGGCCUCAGCCGCUCCUCACACACCUUGCCCUCAGAGCCUUCCCCAUCGUUGUAGCCCUCCUUUGGAUGCUCUCUAAUAGUUUUAUGUCCUUAGAUUUUGGCAUCCAAACCCACACCCAGUGCUGGAGGUGAGGCUGCACAGCACAGAGCAGAGGGGACGCCCAGCUGGGCCUGGUACACCCCAGGUAUUGGGCAAAGGGCCAACCUAUUCACUCGUUAGAACAGGUCUAAAUAAUGAGGGCUGAACCGGAGCUCCUGCUACCGUAUCCUGACUGUUGCAGAGGUCUGUAGGACUGCGCAGACGGUAGCAGCACUGGGAAAUAUGUGGUAAUAAAACUUGUGUAGAUAGAGCCAGAGUGUCUUGAGUUAAUGGUAGGAAGAGGAAUUAGGUUUCCUCCUCCAAUCCUUAGCCAAGCCAUUUUCAGAUUUAAUCAAGAUCAGCAUUUCUGCUGCUACCAACAUUUAGUUCAGAAUUACAUCCCAGUUUUCUUCAGCAGGCAACACUGCCUCUGUCUCACCAUUUGCUGAAUGCUCUUCACGGUAGUGCUUGAUCCCAUAGCUCUCACCUUCGUGUUCUGCAGAAACCACUGUCGAGUCCUUGAAAGCACCAUAAGUGCUGAAGUUGAUCAAUGCUGAGGAGUUAUGGUGGAGGGAAUGCUUCCACAAAAAUAAUAAUAAUAAUAAUAAUAAUAAUAAUAAUAAUGAAAAACAGAGGGAAAAGAUGAACAUUAUCUGCCUUUGAACAGUUUUAUCAGAGGCAAUUGCUGCUUUCAAUUUUUGUCCAUCUGUGUUACCGUUUUAUCACAUACCAACAUCUGAGUAUUGAAAAAUGAGAAAAAUUAACAGUGCUCCUGGAAACAAUGCUGUCAUAUAGUCUACUUCAUUAUUGUUGAGCUUUGAAAGGUAACUAAAUGGCAGUCGAUCCUCUGGGGAAAUUCUUGAGAAAUAAUCUUUAUUAUAAAGGAAUUAGUUAAGUUGUACUUGCUGUUGCACUGUGAAGUUAAGAAAAGUCCUGGUGAUAAAGUGCCAUAGCUCUUCAUGAGUGCCACAGGGAACGCACCUCUUAUUUGUCAGUCUCUCUCCCCACUUGCCAGGGGCCUAGAUUUUCACAAGAGAAUUACCCUUGCAAAGCAGGGGGGAUUGCAGAGCUGCUAAAGCAAGUGAGUCCUUUGGCCAUAGAAAUGUUAUUUUGAGCUCACCGUAUAGGAAGGAGACGCAACCACCCUGAGUGAGGCAGCUGGCAGUGGUCCUGUGCUCCAGAAGUCCCACAUUUGACUGUGCUGACCACACACAUUUUUUCAGUUAUCAGGAGGAAAUUCACUUAGUGUUACUUCAGCCAAGAAGAGGAACCCCAGAAGAAGCUUUAGGAGGACUCUUCAGAAGCUUGAGAUCAUCUGCUAUGGGAAUCAGCAUCAUGGAUGCAUGGACUCAGGGAUAAACUCAGACCAAGAAGAGUGAGGAAGACCCAAGAUAUCUCGGUAAAGGAAACAUUUCUGCCAUGUCCAGUCUUGGCUUCAUGAGAGAACACUGGAAGGCAGGUUUUUUUUUUUUUUUUUUACUUUUGUUGCAGCUUUUCACUGCACAACAUACUCCAAACUCUUCUUUCAACAACCUGCUAAUGUUAGGGGAAGAAAAAAAAAAGAUUGUAAUUCAUUUAGGAAUAAAAGCCAAAAAGCUUUUCGUUAUUGAUCAGGAAUUCAAUCAAGUAACAUCAUCAACAGCAAAAAAAAAAAGUAUGUGCUUAAACAUGAACAGUCCAAAGAUGUUAGUUGUCUGUCAAAACAAAUUGUCAGACAUAUUUGUGUUCUACACAGGAAUAGAUUUAUUGAAAAUCUUAAGUGGAAUGUUUGUUUCCACCAUCUACCAAAUAACGUUCUGUGGGGUUUUGUUCUGAGUACUGAGCAGCUGCAUCAGAAACUUUUUAAUUCAGGGAAGAGUGGCAGUUCCUUUUUGUCUCCUGUGUACCAGCUCUUAGGAAUUCCAGGAAAACUCUAUAAUCCCCAGCUCUCUCUGGCAUGCCACCACCUGAUCAUCACGAUCGCAAACAUUUGUAAUAAAAAUCAGUUAAUAUGCAAGCCACUAUUUUAUAUGCUAUCUUCAAUCCCAGAGAUGGUUUAAGAAGUACCUUCAUGUAGAACCUAUGUUUUUUUUUAUUCUUUUUGUGUCUGUUAAGGCUGGUAUAAUCACGAGGUUAAUUAGAAUCUUAAAUGCUUAGUUCCCAUGUUAAGAGAUUUGUCUCUAUUUAAAAAAAAAAACAAAAACAACUUCACAACAAGGGAAAAUGUAGGGUUUUUUUAAUUAUAAUUGGCCAUUUUGAAGAAAAUGUCUUGUAUAUUGGAAGCACGAGAGCCCAAAUGAGAGCCUAUAAACAUUUUAAAUAGGAAGUUUCCAAUUUUAUUAUUUAUAACACUUGAACUCCUUUACUUUCAAGACGUUCAUAUUACCACAAAGCUCCUGAAGCCAUACUUAUCAGGCCAUCUACUAUUAUGUUAUUAGUAUAAAGAUUGUACAGAACUGCACACAAUAAAAAACUAAUAAAAAACAGUAAAAUAACACUGUGUGGCUUCUCUUCAAACAUCAUUAGCACUCAACUUUGCGUUGAAGGGAG
Molecule: long non-coding RNA, 6630 nt
Filed under: Gallus gallus (chicken)
Lineage: Eukaryota; Metazoa; Chordata; Aves; Galliformes; Phasianidae
Description: lncRNA (ENSGALG00010014684.1)
Source: RNAcentral